GAGACAACAGGGGGAACCAGGUGAGCCAGACUCUCUUGGAUGUCCAGAUUUGAACACGUGGAGUGUUGAUGGAACUCAUGAUAACUAGGAACUUUUCAGUGAAGGUGUAGGUAACAAUGCAAGACUUGUUUUGUUGCCCAGGCUGGAGUGCAGACUCACCUAUUAAUUUUACAGCAUAAAAAUGAUCAGCCCAAUUUAUGUAGUCCUAUUAUCUCUAUCAAGGAUAUUUAGGUCCAUGUGGCCUGCGACAUAGCUCUAGUCACUGAGGGAAAAGCGGUGGUUUGUUGAGUUGAUGCUGCUUCUUCAGAGCGGAAUUUAAACAAUCAACUCCUCACCUCACCCAGUCUAUUUUUACAAUUUUGGAUGACGCUUGGGAAUGCAGUUGCCAUUUCUUACAUAAUGGGAGUUGACUGUGCCGUGAAGGUAACAGGAAGAUGUGUAAAUUUAAAGCCUGGUUACAUAACCUGCUGAAUUUUAAAAGACUAGAGCCAAUCACGUUCUGACAUCUUGUUUAAUUAGUUCUGAAUUUAUCUUUCGUUGGUUACUUCAAGUUCCCCUAAUUCACUUUCUGCUACAGUAGUCACAUACAAUAAUCUUGAUAUAGUAAAAUAAAAAAUAACUAAUUUGAAAAUGAACCCGACUUCCAGGAGAGGUGAACAUUUCUUUGGGGUGAAUGGUGGGAAGGGUGGAGACAUGGUUGAACACUGAGGUUGUGCUCACAAUUGUUUUAUUUUAAUUAGGG
Molecule: long non-coding RNA, 742 nt
Filed under: Homo sapiens (human)
Lineage: Eukaryota; Metazoa; Chordata; Mammalia; Primates; Hominidae
Description: HSALNT0217003
Source: RNAcentral